CCUACGGGAGGCAGCAGUGAGGAAUAUUGGUCAAUGGACGAAAGUCUGAACCAGCCAUGCCGCGUGCAGGAUGACGGCCCUAUGAGUUGUAAACUGCUUUUGUAUGGGAGUAAAUUCCUCUACGUGUAUCGUGUUGUAUGUAUCGUACGAAUAAGGAUCGGCUAACUCCGUGCCAGCAGCCGCGGUAAUACGGAGGAUUCGAGCGUUAUCCGGAUUUAUUGGGUUUAAAGGGUGCGUAGGCGGAUCGUUAAGUCAGUGGUGAAAUCCCGGGGCUCAACCUCAGAACUGCAUUUGAUACUGUCAGGCUAGAGUAUAGUAGAGGUAGGCGGAAUGCGUGGUGUAGCGGUGAAAUGCAUAGAGAUCACACAGAACACCGAUUGCGAAGGCAGCUUACUAGACUACAACUGACGCUGAGGCACGAAAGCGUGGGGAGCAAACAGGAUUAGAUACCCCAGUAGUC
RNAcentral lists this ribosomal RNA (460 nucleotides) under uncultured bacterium. RNAcentral's name for it is "partial 16S ribosomal RNA". It matches the Rfam family "Bacterial small subunit ribosomal RNA", at positions 338 to 795 of the family's 1533-position model. The record is from RNAcentral.